CUUGACUGUAGCCUGGAAUUGGGUUCGGGCUUUUCUUGCGCAGACUAGGCGGGAGGCUAUGAAGAUUUCCUUCCGGGGAAGUUGGAGCCAACAGUGAGAGACCACUCUGGAAAGGCUAGAAUCCUCAUGGUGAUCCUUGAAUCAGGACACUUGACAGUUUCAGGCGGGCAGUUUUUCUGGGGCGGAAACCUCAUAAAAGGUAACUGAGGCGCGCAAAGGUCCCCUCAGUCUGGACGGAAAUCAGACAUUGAGUGUAAAGGCAAAAGGGGGCUUGACUGCAAGACCUACAAGUCGAGCAGGAGCGAAAGCUGGCCUUAGUGAUCCGACGGUGCCGUGUGGAAGGGCCGUCGCUCAACGAAUAAAAGUUA
RNAcentral lists this ribosomal RNA (368 nucleotides) under uncultured organism. RNAcentral's name for it is "bacterial LSU rRNA". It matches the Rfam family "Bacterial large subunit ribosomal RNA", at positions 2099 to 2465 of the family's 2925-position model. The record is from RNAcentral.